AACGCACAUUGCGCCCUUUGGCAUUCCUUAGGGCAUGCCUGUUCGAGCGUCAUCUAACCCCUCAAGCUCUGCUUGAUGUUGGGCGUCUGUCCCGCCUUAGGCGUGGACUCGCCUCAAAAUCAUUGGCGGCCUAUGUAUUGGCUUCGAGCGCAGCAGAUUUCGCGCCUCGUUCCCUCUUGUACAGGCGACCAUAAAGCUUCUUCAACUAUUUUGACCUCGGAUCAGGUAGGGAUACCCGCUGAACUUAA
RNAcentral lists this unclassified non-coding RNA (248 nucleotides) under uncultured fungus. RNAcentral describes it as "partial contains 5.8S ribosomal RNA, internal transcribed spacer 2, and large subunit ribosomal RNA". Lineage: Eukaryota; Fungi. The record is from RNAcentral.